RNAcentral lists this ribosomal RNA (742 nucleotides) under Citrobacter sp. VTT E-96692. RNAcentral's name for it is "bacterial SSU rRNA". It matches the Rfam family "Bacterial small subunit ribosomal RNA", at positions 39 to 770 of the family's 1533-position model. The record is from RNAcentral. Lineage: Bacteria; Pseudomonadati; Pseudomonadota; Gammaproteobacteria; Enterobacterales; Enterobacteriaceae.
GCGGCAGGCCUAACACAUGCAAGUCGAACGGUAGCACAGAGGAGCUUGCUCCUUGGGUGACGAGUGGCGGACGGGUGAGUAAUGUCUGGGAAACUGCCCGAUGGAGGGGGAUAACUACUGGAAACGGUAGCUAAUACCGCAUAACGUCGCAAGACCAAAGAGGGGGACCUUCGGGCCUCUUGCCAUCGGAUGUGCCCAGAUGGGAUUAGCUAGUAGGUGGGGUAACGGCUCACCUAGGCGACGAUCCCUAGCUGGUCUGAGAGGAUGACCAGCCACACUGGAACUGAGACACGGUCCAGACUCCUACGGGAGGCAGCAGUGGGGAAUAUUGCACAAUGGGCGCAAGCCUGAUGCAGCCAUGCCGCGUGUAUGAAGAAGGCCUUCGGGUUGUAAAGUACUUUCAGCGAGGAGGAAGGCGUUGUGGUUAAUAACCGCAACGAUUGACGUUACUCGCAGAAGAAGCACCGGCUAACUCCGUGCCAGCAGCCGCGGUAAUACGGAGGGUGCAAGCGUUAAUCGGAAUUACUGGGCGUAAAGCGCACGCAGGCGGUCUGUCAAGUCGGAUGUGAAAUCCCCGGGCUCAACCUGGGAACUGCAUCCGAAACUGGCAGGCUAGAGUCUUGUAGAGGGGGGUAGAAUUCCAGGUGUAGCGGUGAAAUGCGUAGAGAUCUGGAGGAAUACCGGUGGCGAAGGCGGCCCCCUGGACAAAGACUGACGCUCAGGUGCGAAAGCGUGGGGAGCA